CACGUGACAUUUUGGUGCUGUGACUUGGAUCGGGGGACCUCCCUUGGGAGAUCAAUCCCCUGCCCUCCUAGUCUUUGCUCUGUGAGAAAGAUCCACCUACGAACUUGGGUUCUCAGACCGGCCAGCCCAAGGAACAUCUCACCAAUUUUAAAUCCGAUCUGCUUGGCUUAGCGGCUGAAGAUUGACUCUGCCUGAUCGCCUCAGAAGCCUCCUGGACCAUCAUGGAUGCUGAGCUUCGGGUAACUCUCACAGUGGAGGGUGACAGUCCUGGAUAUCUGACUAUUUUCUGGACAACUCUUGGAUGAUCUGAAACUGAAUGAUUCAUUCCACAAAUAGUUUUUAAAUAGUUUAAAAAUUAGCCGGACGUGGUAUCAGG
Long non-coding RNA from Rhinopithecus roxellana (golden snub-nosed monkey), 376 nucleotides. RefSeq lists it as uncharacterized. Lineage: Eukaryota; Metazoa; Chordata; Mammalia; Primates; Cercopithecidae. The transcript has 4 exons. The record is from RefSeq and is a predicted model, not a curated record.